GACGAACGCUGGCGGCGUGCUUAACACAUGCAAGUCGAACGGAAAGGCCCUGCUUUUGUGGGGUGCUCGAGUGGCGAACGGGUGAGUAACACGUGAGUAACCUGCCCUUGACUUUGGGAUAACUUCAGGAAACUGGGGCUAAUACCGGAUAGGAGCUCCUGCUGCAUGGUGGGGGUUGGAAAGUUUCGGCGGUUGGGGAUGGACUCGCGGCUGAUGAGCUAGUUGGUGGGGUAGUGGCCUACCAAGGCGACGACGGGUAGCCGGCCUGAGAGGGUGACCGGCCACACUGGAACUGAGACACGGGCCAGGCUCCUACGGGAGGCAGCAGUGGGGAAUAUUGGACAAUGGGCGCAAGCCUGAUCCAGCCAUACCGCGUGGGUGAAGAAGGCCUUCGGGUUGUAAAGCCCUUUUGUUGGGAAAGAAAAGCAGCAGGUUAAUACCCCGCUGUUCUGACGGUACCCAAAGAAUAAGCACCGGCUAACUUCGUG
Molecule: ribosomal RNA, 488 nt
Filed under: uncultured bacterium
Lineage: Bacteria
Description: partial 16S ribosomal RNA
Rfam family: Bacterial small subunit ribosomal RNA
Source: RNAcentral